This 35-nucleotide transfer RNA is filed under the name Hydrophis schistosus (beaked sea snake). Its description in RNAcentral is "partial tRNA-Leu". RNAcentral also lists the same sequence under 3 other names. Lineage: Eukaryota; Metazoa; Chordata; Lepidosauria; Squamata; Elapidae. The record is from RNAcentral.
UCUACCAAAGGAUAAUAGUAUUCCACUGGUCUUAG